RNAcentral lists this ribosomal RNA (422 nucleotides) under uncultured bacterium. RNAcentral describes it as "bacterial SSU rRNA". It matches the Rfam family "Bacterial small subunit ribosomal RNA", at positions 355 to 774 of the family's 1533-position model. The record is from RNAcentral.
UAAGGAAUAUUGGACAAUGGAGGCAACCCUGAUCCAGCCAUGCCGCGUGAAGGAAUAAGGCCCUAUGGGUUGUAAACUUCCUUUAGACGGGACAAAACCCCUUUACGUGUAAAGGGUUGAUGGUACUGUCAGAAUAAGCAUCGGCUAACUUCGUGCCAGCAGCCGCGGUAAUACGAAGGAUGCAAGCGUUAUCCGGAAUUAUUGGGUUUAAAGGGUGCGUAGGCGGACUAAUAAGUCAGUGGUGAAAGCCUGCAGCUUAACUGCAGAAUUGCCAUUGAUACUGUUAGUCUUGAGUACAGUUGAGGUAGGCGGAAUGUGUCAUGUAGCGGUGAAAUGCUUAGAUAUGACACAGAACACCGAUUGCGAAGGCAGCUUGCUAAGCUGUAACUGACGCUGAGGCACGAAAGCGUGGGGAGCAAACA